AUUGAACGCUGGCGGAAUGCUUUACACAUGCAAGUCGAGCGGCAGCACGGGGGCAACCCUGGUGGCGAGCGGCGAACGGGUGAGUAAUACAUCGGAACAUGCCCAGUCGUGGGGGAUAACACUUCGAAAGAAGUGCUAAUACCGCAUACGUCCUGAGGGGGAAAGCGGGGGAUCGCAAGACCUCGCGCGAUUGGAGUGGCCGAUGUCAGAUUAGCUAGUUGGUGGGGUAAAGGCCUACCAAGGCAACGAUCUGUAGCUGGUCUGAGAGGAUGAUCAGCCACACUGGGACUGAGACACGGCCCAGACGCCUACGGGAGGCAGCAGUGGGGAAUUUUGGACAAUGGGGGCAACCCUGAUCCAGCCAUUCCGCGUGAGUGAAGAAGGCCUUCGGGUUGUAAAGCUCUUUCGGCAGGAACGAAACGGUGAGCUCUAACAUAGCUUGCUAAUGACGGUACCUGAAGAAGAAGCACCGGCUAACUACGUG
This 484-nucleotide ribosomal RNA is filed under the name uncultured bacterium. Its description in RNAcentral is "partial 16S ribosomal RNA". It matches the Rfam family "Bacterial small subunit ribosomal RNA", at positions 30 to 507 of the family's 1533-position model. The record is from RNAcentral.